AAAUAAGAAUUAAUAUUAAAUUAAAUUUAAUUUCGACUUAAACCUAGGGUAUCUAAUACCCCUUAUUUU
This 69-nucleotide transfer RNA is filed under the name Hydromanicus melli. Its description in RNAcentral is "tRNA-Arg". The record is from RNAcentral. Lineage: Eukaryota; Metazoa; Arthropoda; Insecta; Trichoptera; Hydropsychidae.